GGAGGGGUGUCCGAGUGGUUUAAGGAGGCGGUCUUGAAAAUCGCUGGGUCCCUGUGGCCCCGUGGGUUCGAAUCCCACUCCCUCCGCCA
Molecule: transfer RNA, 89 nt
Filed under: Desulfofundulus thermobenzoicus
Lineage: Bacteria; Bacillati; Bacillota; Clostridia; Eubacteriales; Peptococcaceae
Also listed under: 2 other names
Description: tRNA-Ser
Rfam family: tRNA
About the family: Transfer RNA (tRNA) molecules are approximately 80 nucleotides in length. Their secondary structure includes four short double-helical elements and three loops (D, anti-codon, and T loops).
Source: RNAcentral